UACGUAGGGCGCAAGCGUUGUCCGGAAUUAUUGGGCGUAAAGAGCUCGUAGGUGGUUUGUCGCGUCUGCCGUGAAAACCCGAGGCUUAACCUCGUGGCUUGCGGUGGAUACGGGCAGACUAGAGGUAGGUAGGGGAGAAUGGAAUUCCCGGUGUAGCGGUGAAAUGCGCAGAUAUCGGGAGGAACACCGGUGGCGAAGGCGGUUCUCUGGGCCUGACCUGACGCUGAGGAGCGAAAGCGUGGGGAGCGAACAGG
This 254-nucleotide ribosomal RNA is filed under the name uncultured bacterium. RNAcentral's name for it is "partial 16S ribosomal RNA". It matches the Rfam family "Bacterial small subunit ribosomal RNA", at positions 524 to 776 of the family's 1533-position model. The record is from RNAcentral.